AAUCCAUGGUGGGGGCAAAGUCUAAACAUAUUCUUGAAUCUAUCCUAAGCUUCAUACAGGGACUCUGUGUUGGCUUGUCUAAAACUCGCAAUCAAAUUUCACAUGUGUAC
Zingiber officinale is the source of this 110-nucleotide small nucleolar RNA. NCBI's taxonomy places the organism in Eukaryota, Viridiplantae, Streptophyta, Magnoliopsida, Zingiberales, Zingiberaceae. The record is from RefSeq and is a predicted model, not a curated record.